This 377-nucleotide ribosomal RNA is filed under the name Nematoda sp. RNAcentral's name for it is "SSU rRNA". It matches the Rfam family "Eukaryotic small subunit ribosomal RNA", at positions 252 to 626 of the family's 1831-position model. The record is from RNAcentral. Lineage: Eukaryota; Metazoa; Nematoda.
CUGAAUAACUGAGCAGAUCGCUUCGGUCUUUGUACCGGCGACGUAUCUUUCAAGUGUCUGCCUUAUCAACUUUCGAUGGUAGUUUAUGUGCCUACCAUGGUUGUAACGGGUAACGGAGAAUCAGGGUUCGACUCCGGAGAGGGAGCCUGAGAAACGGCUACCACUUCUAAGGAAGGCAGCAGGCGCGCAAAUUACCCACUCUCGGCACGAGGAGGUAGUGACGAAAAAUAACGAGACGGUUCUCUUUUGAGUACCGUCAUCGGAAUGAGAACAAUCUAAACCCUUUAACGAGGACCUAGCGGAGGGCAAGUCUGGUGCCAGCAGCCGCGGUAAUUCCAGCUCCGCCAGUGUAUAUCUAUGCUGCUGCGGUUAAAAAG